Molecule: transfer RNA, 72 nt
Filed under: Gossypium laxum
Lineage: Eukaryota; Viridiplantae; Streptophyta; Magnoliopsida; Malvales; Malvaceae
Also listed under: 1 other name
Rfam family: tRNA
About the family: Transfer RNA (tRNA) molecules are approximately 80 nucleotides in length. Their secondary structure includes four short double-helical elements and three loops (D, anti-codon, and T loops). Further hydrogen bonds mediate the characteristic L-shaped molecular structure. tRNAs have two regions of fundamental functional importance: the anti-codon, which is responsible for specific mRNA codon recognition, and the 3' end, to which the tRNAs corresponding amino acid is attached (by aminoacyl-tRNA synthetases). tRNAs cope with the degeneracy of the genetic code in two manners: having more than one tRNA (with a specific anti-codon) for a particular amino acid; and 'wobble' base-pairing, i.e. permitting non-standard base-pairing at the 3rd anti-codon position.
Source: Rfam by way of RNAcentral
AUCAGAGUGGCGCAGCGGAAGCGUGGUGGGCCCAUAAUCCAUAGGUCCCAAGAUUGAAACUUGGCUCUGAUA